CCUGCCUUGGAGAGGGGGAAUAACACUCCGAAAGGAGUGCUAAUACCGCAUGAUGCAGUUGAGUCGCAUGGCUCUGACUGCCAAAGAUUUAUCGCUCUGAGAUGGCCUCGCGUCUGAUUAGCUAGUAGGCGGGGUAACGGCCCACCUAGGCGAUGAUCAGUAGCCGGACUGAGAGGUUGACCGGCCACAUUGGGACUGAGACACGGCCCAGACUCCUACGGGAGGCAGCAUG
RNAcentral lists this ribosomal RNA (232 nucleotides) under uncultured bacterium. RNAcentral's name for it is "partial 16S ribosomal RNA". It matches the Rfam family "Bacterial small subunit ribosomal RNA", at positions 125 to 353 of the family's 1533-position model. The record is from RNAcentral.